Molecule: long non-coding RNA, 385 nt
Filed under: Elaeis guineensis (African oil palm)
Lineage: Eukaryota; Viridiplantae; Streptophyta; Magnoliopsida; Arecales; Arecaceae
Description: long non-coding RNA (EGUI_LNC005485)
Source: RNAcentral
GUUACAUAGAGUCUUGAUUACAUAUACUUCUUAAGUGUUUACUUUUAAAUUAACUUUGAUUACAUAAUUGAUAUUAUCUCUCUGCAGAUUUGAUGAGUUUUUAUAUUUAAUAUUUUUACUUUAUGUAGGUUAUAAAAAAAUUAGUGACAAAAGAGAGAGAUAUUAAAAGGAGGAGACUUGCUAAGCAUUCCUUACAAGAGUUAAGAGGGGAGGAGGAGAGGCAGGAGUUGAGAGGGGAGAAGGAGUGGAAGAGAGAGAAGUGGAGGAGAGAGGUGAGGGCAGUAAGGAGGGAAGCGAGAGAAGUGAUAAAAGUACUCUAAUUAAUUAUCGCUAUUAUAUUACGUCAUAUCACCUGUUCAUGUUGAAAAUUAAAGAAAAUGAGGCA